GCCGGGCGUGGUGGCGCGCGCCUGUAGUCCCAGCUACUCGGGAGGCUGAGGCUGGAGGAUCGCUUGAGCCCGGGAGUUCUGGGCUAUAGUGCGCUAUGCCGAUCGGGUGUCCGCACUAAGUUCGGCCUCAAUAUGGUGACCUCGCGGGAGCGGGGGAUACCAGGUUGCCUAAGGAGAGGUGAACCGGCCCAAGUCGGAGACGGAGCAGGUCAAAGCUCCCGUGCUGAUCAGUAGUGGGAUCACGCCUGUGAAUAGCCACUGCACUCCAGCCUGGGCAACAUAGCAAGACCCCGUCUCUA
Molecule: non-coding RNA, 299 nt
Organism: Myotis lucifugus (little brown bat)
Lineage: Eukaryota; Metazoa; Chordata; Mammalia; Chiroptera; Vespertilionidae
Source: Rfam